RNAcentral lists this small RNA (132 nucleotides) under Escherichia coli. RNAcentral's name for it is "RtT sRNA". It matches the Rfam family "RtT RNA". From Rfam's summary of the family: This family represents a bacterial cis-regulatory element known as RtT RNA. The exact function of RtT is unknown although it is thought that it may be involved in changing the cellular response in relation to amino acid starvation. Lineage: Bacteria; Pseudomonadati; Pseudomonadota; Gammaproteobacteria; Enterobacterales; Enterobacteriaceae. The record is from RNAcentral.
GUUUGCACUCAUCGGGGAAGGGUGAGAAUCUUCGACUAAGGUUCGAUUCGAGCGAAAGCGAGAGAACGUUGCCACAGGCAACGGCCCGAAGGGUGAGGAGCGAAGCGACGAAUAAUCCUUCCCCCACCACCA